Parus major (Great Tit) is the source of this 1524-nucleotide long non-coding RNA. RefSeq lists it as uncharacterized. The transcript has 3 exons. NCBI's taxonomy places the organism in Eukaryota, Metazoa, Chordata, Aves, Passeriformes, Paridae. The record is from RefSeq and is a predicted model, not a curated record.
CUGCACAUUUUUCAGAGAAAUAAUGAAUGAUCCAGAAAUCUCACGUCUCUCUGAUCACAGAUUGGUGAAGUGUAGAGAAAGAGGUGCUGUGAUAUUCUAGCACGUAUCUUCCAGCCCUCAGACACUGGCCUUGCAGCGUCUAGAGCAGCUGAUGCUGUGUCCAGCAGUGCUCCAUUAUGUCACCUUGCAGCCGUGGUACAUGAUGUGGGAAAUGAAAUGAAAAUUUAUCCUGAAAUAUGCAGUGGUUAACAACUGGAUGGAUGACAGAGGUUACUGUGAGAAUCAGUGUAAUAGUGAGGUGAUGUGUGCAGGGCCUGAGAAACACUAUUUCAAAACAAAGAGAUGUAUUUUACAGCAUAAGCUCUUUCCUAUUCAUAUACCACUAAAUGCUUCCAGAAAAGAGUUGUCAAAAUGCAAGACAAAGACAGGAGAGAUGGUUACUUGUGUUUUGUUGUCUAAACUUGUUGGGAUGCUCCUGGCUUCAGCAGGCCUGGAAUGAAAGCUGGAAAAGGGAACUUAUUGUCUGUUAGCACUGUCAAAAGCUUUGGAGGAAAGAGCACCAAGAACUGCUUACCUUUGUGCAUUUGUGAUCAGAUCCAGUAGAUCUUCUCUUGUCUUCAUUGGUAGAACAGCAGUUUCCACUAAAACUGAUAGAACUAGCAAAGAUUUAAAUGACUCGGAGAGGUAGAGCAUGCCCAUGCUCUCAGAAUUUUUCCAUCUACCUCCUCUGCCUUUGGGCUGAGCAUGGCAGAGGAACAGGACUUGCCAAACAGCCGCAUACACGGGGCUGACCCAGCGAGGUGGUGCAGCUUCUUUCAUUCCCCUACAUUUGUCCCUAUAAAAAGCCACAUGAAGAGUUGUUGCACAGCUUUGUAUAUUUGUGUAAUGUACAACUUCCUUCGUGACAGACAUAAUCACCCUAACUACCACACAAAUUGUUUGUUUCAGGCUUGCAGCUGUGGCUCAUGAGCUAUUGGCAGAGUUCUCAUCACUGAUUUGAGCACCACAAUACAUUCUCUGCAUGCUCUUCUAUUGCAAAGACAGCCAAAAGAAACUAGUGCACGCCAUCUCGUGGCCCUGCUCAGCUAUUUCCUGGGAACGAAUGGAGCUCCAGUUGCAACAAGAAUGUUUGAUGUGGACAGGAUUUAAAAGAUGGCUUUCAGAGGCUCAGACACAGCCCGACCGUCUGACCCCUGCUCCCAGCCUGAGCAGCUGUUUCCUGGAGCAGCAGCAGAACAUCAAACUGCAAAAAGCACUUCUUCAGCACAUGCUCACACAGCCAUUGAGGUAACCCUGUCCUGACAACACAUCCAGAGUGCCAGUGAACACAGCCCCCAGACCAGCCUUUGGUGGAACACGAAAUUACUGUAUUCAUUUUAGAGUAGGACAUACACAUGUGAAUCGUUUUUAAUUACAUGAAAGGUUGGGGAUGUUCAUGGUACAUUUAUCUUCAUCUGCUGUCAGGACUUGUUAAAGAACUCCAUGUGUCAAUGCUUUAAAUAAAGCUAAUGUGCCUGUUCAUAA